AGAACAAAAUAAGUUCUUGUUCAUUUUUUAACCUUAUUCUCUUCCCGUAAUCUUCUAUCUCUAUCGUUUCUGAUAUAUAUUCUUGUAAAUAUUGUUCAACUUAUCACGUAGAAUACCCAAGGAAUGUUGUAACCAAUUGUAACCUCUUAGGCUAUUUAAAUACCUCGUCAAUGAAUGAAUCCUCAUCGAAGAAUUACCAAAGUUAUUAUGGCAUCAGAGGUAGAUCACUCUUGAGUUUUUUUCCUCCACUCCUC
This 254-nucleotide long non-coding RNA is filed under the name Brassica napus (rape). RNAcentral's name for it is "long non-coding RNA (BNAP_LNC005867)". The record is from RNAcentral. Lineage: Eukaryota; Viridiplantae; Streptophyta; Magnoliopsida; Brassicales; Brassicaceae.